This 425-nucleotide ribosomal RNA is filed under the name uncultured bacterium. RNAcentral's name for it is "bacterial SSU rRNA". It matches the Rfam family "Bacterial small subunit ribosomal RNA", at positions 356 to 773 of the family's 1533-position model. The record is from RNAcentral.
GGGGAAUAUUGGACAAUGGGCGCAAGCCUGAUCCAGCCAUGCCGCGUGUGUGAAGAAGGCCUUCGGGUUGUAAAGCACUUUAAGUUGGGAGGAAGGUUUCUUGGCUAAUAUCCAAGGAAAUUGACGUUACCAACAGAAUAAGCACCGGCUAAUUCCGUGCCAGCAGCCGCGGUAAUACGGAAGGUGCGAGCGUUAAUCGGAAUUACUGGGCGUAAAGCGCACGUAGGCGGUUACUUAAGUCGGAUGUGAAAGCCCUGGGCUUAACCUGGGAAUUGCAUCCGAUACUGGGUGACUAGAGUACGGUAGAGGGGGGUGGAAUUCCAGGUGUAGCGGUGAAAUGCGUAGAGAUCUGGAGGAACACCGGUGGCGAAGGCGGCCCCCUGGACUGAUACUGACGCUGAGGUGCGAAAGCGUGGGGAGCAAAC